CCUACGGGCGGCUGCAGUGGGGAAUAUUGCGCAAUGGGCGAAAGCCUGACGCAGCGACGCCGCGUGAGUGAUGGAGGUCUUCGGAUCGUAAACCUCUGUCAGCAGGGAAGAACCGUCACUGUGCUAAUCAGCAGUGCAUUGACGGUACCUGCAAAGGAAGCACCGGCUAACUCAGUGCCAGCAGCCGCGGUAAUACGGAGGGUGCGAGCGUUAAUCGGAAUUACUGGGCGUAAAGCGCUCGUAGGCGGUAUUGCAAGUCAAGGGUGAAAGCCCCGCGCUCAACGUGGGAACUGCCUUUGAAACUGGCAAACUGGAGUGUGUGAGAGGAUAGUGGAAUUCCAGGUGUAGGAGUGAAAUCCGUAGAUAUCAGGAGGAACAUCAGUGGCGAAGGCGACUAUCUGGCACAUAACUGACGCUGAGGAGCGAAAGCGUGGGUAGCAAACAGGAUUAGAUACCCGUGUAGUC
This 465-nucleotide ribosomal RNA is filed under the name uncultured bacterium. RNAcentral's name for it is "partial 16S ribosomal RNA". It matches the Rfam family "Bacterial small subunit ribosomal RNA", at positions 338 to 795 of the family's 1533-position model. The record is from RNAcentral.